Molecule: non-coding RNA, 156 nt
Organism: Tinamus guttatus (white-throated tinamou)
Lineage: Eukaryota; Metazoa; Chordata; Aves; Tinamiformes; Tinamidae
Source: RefSeq, a predicted model, not a curated record
UAAAGUUUACCUUCCUCUGUUAAUGUAACUGCAUUUGGCGUGUGUUCGUAAGUGGCUUGUUCCUGUCAAAUAGAGAAAUCGGUGUUGAGAUUUUUAUUCAGUUGCAGAGAGAUUUCCAGAGCACCAUCCUAGAAACUAAUGUCCAUGUUAUCUUCA